RNAcentral lists this unclassified non-coding RNA (217 nucleotides) under Hevea brasiliensis (rubber tree). Lineage: Eukaryota; Viridiplantae; Streptophyta; Magnoliopsida; Malpighiales; Euphorbiaceae. The record is from RNAcentral.
GGCGGCGGGGAUAUUGGUGGCGUUCGCGUGGCCGUCGAGCAACGAGCGGGACCUCGAGCCGUUCGUCGAGCUGUACGAGUCCCUCGGCUGGAGCUCGCUUAUCUGCCAUGUCGACCUCCUCACCCUAUUUCUCCCGGAGAAGGCCACGUCACUAGCCUGCGUCGUUCUUAAUAAGCUUUUGAAGGAAGUGAGAAUUAGGCCAGUGCCUAUCGUGCUC